Molecule: ribosomal RNA, 445 nt
Filed under: uncultured bacterium
Lineage: Bacteria
Description: bacterial SSU rRNA
Rfam family: Bacterial small subunit ribosomal RNA
Source: RNAcentral
CGUCGACUCCUACGGGAGGCAGCAGUGGGGAAUAUUGCACAAUGGGGGAAACCCUGAUGCAGCGACGCCGCGUGAGCGAUGAAGUAUUUCGGUAUGUAAAGCUCUAUCAGCAGGGAAGAAAAUGACGGUACCUGACUAAGAAGCCCCGGCUAACUCCGUGCCAGCAGCCGCGGUAAUACGGAGGAUGCGAGCGUUAUCCGGAUUUAUUGGGUUUAAAGGGUGCGUAGGCGGGACGUUAAGUCAGCGGUAAAAAGGCGGGGCUCAACUCCGUCGAGCCGUUGAAACUGCCGUUCUUGAGUGAGCGAGAAGUAUGCGGAAUGCGUGGUGUAGCGGUGAAAUGCAUAGAUAUCACGCAGAACUCCGAUUGCGAAGGCAGCAUACCGGCGCUCAACUGACGCUGAAGCACGAAGGCGUGGGUAUCGAACAGGAUUAGAUACCCGAGUAA